RNAcentral lists this ribosomal RNA (111 nucleotides) under Chrysemys picta bellii (western painted turtle). Lineage: Eukaryota; Metazoa; Chordata; Testudines; Emydidae. The record is from RNAcentral.
GCCUGCAGCUAUACCUCUUCGAGCUAUGAGCUCUCUGUAAACUAAUCAAGGUUGGGCCUGGUUCAUAUUUGGAUGAGAGACCUCCAAGUGAAACCUGGGUUGUUGCAAGAA